AGCUUUGUGCAGAGGCAGUACUGUAGCCAAUAAGAUUGAUCUGAGACACGAUUAUUGCUCAGUGUAGACUAGAGAUUGAAUGAGAUUUCUGGAAUUCAGGAUUGCUAUAUAAUCACAGAACUGCUCCAUGUAGGCAGUUUUUCGGGAAGGGACAGGCAAGAGC
This 163-nucleotide small nuclear RNA is filed under the name Myotis lucifugus (little brown bat). Its description in RNAcentral is "U4 spliceosomal RNA (ENSMLUG00000021904.1)". The record is from RNAcentral. Lineage: Eukaryota; Metazoa; Chordata; Mammalia; Chiroptera; Vespertilionidae.